GUUAAUAGCUUUCCAGAAUGGAAUUUCAAAAGGUUUAUAAAUGCUUGAUGCAUAUAUUCCCGCAGGUUGAUUCACGUAUUCUAAAAUCUGUGGCUAAUGGCUAUUGAGAACUCUAAGGAUGUGGAUGCAGCUGCGGAGAUUAUUUUGUCUGAGAUUCUGCCUUACAUGUCUAAAAAGAUGGUGACUGCUAGUUCUUCCUCACAGAGACAGAGUCCUCGCGUGCCUCGAAAUAGAGCUUUUGAUAAGGAAGAAGGCAAUCAAUUGAGGCAACAAAAGGUAUUGUUGGUGAACAUAGCAUGAUGUCCUUCAGAUCCAUUGUCGGAAGCAAAUGAAGUUCUCAGAGACGUUGUUCUAACAGGUGUUGCUACUGGUAUAGGUUCUGUUGAGGCAUCAAGUACAGCGAGUACUUUAAUAAUCCACUAGAACAACAAUAAUGAGCCCGCUGAUGUUGAAACUGAUGAAUUGAUUUUGUUGGGGAACACAGAAAAAUGUGCUGAAAUUGGGAAAGCUAUAUCUAGUGUCAGCUUGAAUGCUUUAGGGAUUGAUAAUCUUCUGCCUUAUGUGAAUCUUGAAAUUAAAGGGUCUGGACGUAAAGACCAAACUAUUGUCAUUGAAGAUGGGAUUGUGAGGA
Hibiscus syriacus is the source of this 631-nucleotide long non-coding RNA. RefSeq lists it as uncharacterized. The record is from RefSeq and is a predicted model, not a curated record. NCBI's taxonomy places the organism in Eukaryota, Viridiplantae, Streptophyta, Magnoliopsida, Malvales, Malvaceae. The transcript has 3 exons.